This 1479-nucleotide long non-coding RNA is filed under the name Gallus gallus (chicken). The record is from RNAcentral. Lineage: Eukaryota; Metazoa; Chordata; Aves; Galliformes; Phasianidae.
AUUAACUUCAGCAGAGUUACGCUGGAAGUGAAUUUGUCCCCAGGAGGCUUUUCGAAAUGCUCGGCUCUUUCCUUAUGAUUACCCAGAGGAGCGGAGGAGAAGGCAAGACAGAGGGCCCUUUGAUAGGAGGAAUGUGGUUCAAAGCAAAGUCUUGUUCCCGCCGUUCGUGGUGCUCCAUCUGUUCCUCAUUUGGGCUGGAGGUGGGUCAGGGCCCGCAGAGGCACGCGUGCUGUGGCUGAGGGGCAGGCAGGGGCUUUGCACAGCACAUCUGGUGCGCAGGUUAUGUUCCUUCCACGGCUGGAAAACAGCGGGAGGAAUGUUCGGAUACUUCACGCAUACUUCUGCGGAACUGCUUGGAAGUCAGAAAAUGGAGCAGCCGAAUGUUAAGGUCUGGCUUCCCUGAAGUCAAGAUGGUUUCCUCAGCUGGAGGAGGGAGAUCUUGUGCCAAGAUUGGCCUGCCAGGACCAAAAAAUUUGGAUCUGAAUUAGAUUAAGAAGAAAAUGAAUUUACCCCAUCUGUAUAUUUGGUUCCUGAUUUCUCUCGCUUCCAUUUUAUGAAUUACAAAUAAAUGGACUCCCGUGAUGUUGGUCUGAAAGGAAACCCAAGUCCUCAUCUCUACUUGCUGAUGAAAUUGAUGGUUUUUUUCCUUCUCUUCUGGUUUUGAAAAGAAAAUAACCAAAAUAAACAUCAAGGGAAAAAGCCAAUAACUUCUAACACAGCCAGUGAAGUGUAAAGAGCUGCAUGUUGGAAGGGAAAAACUGAACACAUUUGGGAAGUGCUGGGGAGCAAUUCAGGAUCCAACACAUUGGGUGGGAUGGUUACUGUGAGGAGCUGAUAUUUGUGUAUUUUAUGGGACAACCUUUUGCAAGUUAGAUAGAAACCACUCGUACUCUCUAUUACUACGCUUAGACACAAGCUUCCUGGCACCAACUUAUUCUACAUAUAAGAACCAACUGCAAAGUAUAAUAAGAGAACGUUCAGCCUACUCUUUUAUAGAUGAUUGACAAAAUGGUUUUAAAAGUGGCCUCAUCCUUGCCACAUUUAAAGACACAGAGAAGAGCCCUCAACGACUGCUCUGGGAUGAUUUGGGUUCGUUUGGAGCGUGCGGAGGAGGGCAGCUUUUUGCCUUAGGAGGUCUCACGGUCAUUGGAAUUGAAAGGAAGAGAGCAUUGGGUUGGGGUCUUUUUUAACCAAAUGUAUUAUUUGUCCAAAUUGUUUAUUAGGUAUUCAAUGAAGUGGAGUUUAACAACAAAAAUAAUAAAUCUGAGCGUUUUCAGCACUCUGGCUUAAAGUGCUUUCCCUUCACAGCUGCUUGUCUUUGCAAUUUUAUAUCCAGUGAUAUUAUAAUGACAUUAAUUUUCCAGCUGUCAGGGGAAUUUCAAAGCUGAUUCUGUGCUUCAAAUGUAAAAAUCAAGAAUUCCCAGCAGCUUUUUUUGGUUAAACUUCUGGAUAACAUUUCAAAAUGGUUCUUUGUCAAAG